UGGGGAAUAUUGGGCAAUGGGGGAAACCCUGACCCAGCAACGCCGCGUGAGGGAAGAAGGUUUUCGGAUUGUAAACCUCUGUCCUUGGUGACGAAACAAAUGACGGUAGCCAAGGAGGAAGCCCCGGCUAACUACGUGCCAGCAGCCGCGGUAAUACGUAGGGGGCAAGCGUUGUCCGGAAUGACUGGGCGUAAAGGGCGUGUAGGCGGCUGAUUAAGUCUGGAGUGAAAGUCCUGCUUUCAAGGUGGGAAUUGCUUUGGAGACUGGUUGGCUUGAGUGCGGAAGAGGUAAGUGGAAUUCCCAGUGUAGCGGUGAAAUGCGUAGAUAUUGGGAGGAACACCAGUGGCGAAGGCGACUUUCUGGACGGUGUCUGACGCUGAGGCGCGAAAGCCAGGGGAGCGAACGGG
This 407-nucleotide ribosomal RNA is filed under the name uncultured prokaryote. RNAcentral describes it as "bacterial SSU rRNA". It matches the Rfam family "Bacterial small subunit ribosomal RNA", at positions 355 to 776 of the family's 1533-position model. The record is from RNAcentral. RNAcentral also lists the same sequence under 1 other name.